UCUAGGCCAAAGGCAGAACUGCCAGUAGGGCCAGCUUGUUUUAUUUAAAUUGGUCCUAAUCUGCAAACCCAUAUUGAGAACCUAUUUUAUGCCUGCUUUCUUCCACAAAUCUCCUAAUUCUACCACAGAAAAACAAGCCAAUUCAUAGUGCUAGGAAACUACCCACUACUGUGUGUGUAGGUUAUCUGGAGGCACUGACUAGAGAUGACAGGCUCAAGUGACCCAGUGAUCCCACCAGUACGUCACAAAGUUGUGAAUUCUCUCCAUGGCAGUGCUGGCAGAAGUAAUCCUCCAGGACUAACGGAAUAAGAUUCCAUCCAUGUCCAGGGCUAUGGGGAACCUGCAGUCUGGAGUCGGAUUACGGUCUGGGUCUCCCCGAAAUUCACGGGUGGAAAUCUUCACCCUUAAUGUGGUGGUACUGAUGGGCGGAGCCUUUGAGACAUGGUCAGAUCUUGAACACCGCACCUUUCUAGAGGGCUCAGUCCCUUCACAAAAGAACCACUGCAAGCACCACCCCCAGCCAAGGUUUGCACGCCAAGUAAAGCGGCCAUAGCCGCCCCAGGAUCCUCCGCGCGGCGCAAGAUGGCCGCAGGGCUGUUAAAUUCCAGGCGAGGCACUUAAUGAUCCAGGUUUGAGCCAGCGUCGCCGCUUUUGCCCUUUACCCAGUGCUUUCACCUCAAAGCUCUUCGAGCACCUCCAGUUUGCCGUACUGGCUGGUCAAAGUGUGGCGACAGACGCGCACGCUCCACGCUCAAGGGCCGGGCGAACACCAGCCCUAGCUGUGGUUCCGCGGAGGAUGAGGAGAAAGCCACACGCAGCCGGUGCUAGAGCAGGGCAGAAGCUGCCUCUCCGCCCUGGUUAUUGAAGGGCAGAUAAGACGACUAAAAUAGAGAACGGAAAAAAGCCUAAGGGAAUCGUAUAGCAUGCGACAAGCAGCAUCCGGAUUGCAGCUGAGGCAGAGCACCGUCUCCAGACACCAACCCUGCGGACAGCCUCCAGAACUGUGAGCAGUAGAUUUUUGCUGUUUGUAAGUGACCCAAUCGAAGGUCUAUUGGUUUAGCAGGACUAAGAAUGUUCUGUUUGGGAUUUCGUUGUUAUCUGUGGUUCUUAGUGUCUCGUAAUCCUUUCUUGGAAAAAUGAAUCAAGUCAUACGAAAGGACUGCCGCUUAGAGAUGCAAAAUGUGAAUAGUGAUCCUUAGUUGAGCGCGGUUUUGCUUUGCUUUGCUUUGCUUUCUCUUAUUUUACUCUGAUCCGGUCGUUGAAACAGUGUGCCCACUUUAAGAUAUGUGGUGCAGAGAGUGCGUAAGUUUCCAGAAAGUGAUGUGUCUGAGGCUACAUUUUCAAACUAAAGUCUGAGCACCUGGGACCACCACCACAUUUCCUGGGAGCUUGUCAGCAACACAGAAUUAGAAUCUUGGGCCAACCCAAUCAAAAUCCUAGAACAACAAGAUCUCCAGUGAUUUUAUUUCAGAAAUCAAGCUUAUUAGAGAAACAUGGCUAGAAACUGAGUAUUAGAAGUGGAAACUUAAGAGCAUUGACUUUAAAAAUAAAACUUUGGAAAAAUACUGAAACAAA
Non-coding RNA from Oryctolagus cuniculus (rabbit), 1575 nucleotides. The record is from RefSeq and is a predicted model, not a curated record. Lineage: Eukaryota; Metazoa; Chordata; Mammalia; Lagomorpha; Leporidae.